Molecule: ribosomal RNA, 482 nt
Filed under: uncultured bacterium
Lineage: Bacteria
Description: partial 16S ribosomal RNA
Rfam family: Bacterial small subunit ribosomal RNA
Source: RNAcentral
GACGAACGCUGGCGGCGUGCUUAACACAUGCAAGUCGAACGCUGAAGCUCAGCUUGCUGGGUGGAUGAGUGGCGAACGGGUGAGUAACACGUGAGUAACCUGCCCUCUUCUUUGGGAUAACGCCCGGAAACGGGUGCUAAUACUGGAUAUUCACUGAUUCUCGCAUGGGGGUUGGUGGAAAGGUUUUUUCUGGUGGGGGAUGGGCUCGCGGCCUAUCAGCUUGUUGGUGGGGUGAUGGCCUACCAAGGCUUUGACGGGUAGCCGGCCUGAGAGGGUGACCGGUCACAUUGGGACUGAGAUACGGCUCAGACUCCUACGGGAGGCAGCAGUGGGGAAUAUUGCACAAUGGGCGAAAGCCUGAUGCAGCGACGCCGCGUGAGGGAUGGAGGCCUUCGGGUUGUAAACCUCUUUCGCUCAUGGUCAAGCCGCAGCUUUGGGUUGUGGUGAGGGUAGUGGGUAAAGAAGCGCCGGCUAACUACGUG